RNAcentral lists this ribosomal RNA (1353 nucleotides) under uncultured marine eukaryote. RNAcentral's name for it is "SSU rRNA". It matches the Rfam family "Eukaryotic small subunit ribosomal RNA", at positions 411 to 1776 of the family's 1831-position model. The record is from RNAcentral.
CACUUCUAAGGAAGGCAGCAGGCGCGCAAAUUACCCAAUCCUGACUCAGGGAGGUAGUGACAAGAAAUAACAAUAAACCGGCUUAUGCCGGUUUAAUUGGAAUGAGUACAAUUUAAACAUCUUAACGAGGAACAAUUGGAGGGCAAGUCUGGUGCCAGCAGCCGCGGUAAUUCCAGCUCCAAUAGCGUAUACUAAAGUUGUUGCAGUUAAAAAGCUCGUAGUUGGAUUUCUGUGGGGACGGAGCGGCCGGCCGCAACUCGCGGUUCGAGCUAGCGCUUUCCCUACAUCCUGCCGCGAACCGUGCUACCAUUAGUUUGGUGGCGCCGGGGAUCGGCUCGAUUACUUUGAGAAAAAUAGAGUGUUCAAAGCAGGCCACAUGCCUUGAAUAGGUUAGCAUGGAAUAAUAACUAAGGACUUCGGUUCUAUUUUGUUGGUGUUCGGGACUGAAGUAAUGAUUGAUAGGGACAGUUGGGGCGGUCUGUAUUCCAAAGCGAGAGGUGAAAUUCUUAGACCUUCGGAAGACAAACAGCUGCGAAAGCGUUCCGCAAGGAUGUUCCCUUUGAUCAAGAACGAAAGUUGGGGGAUCGAAGACGAUCAGAUACCGUCGUAGUCUCAACUAUAAACUAUACCAGCUAGGGAUCGGCCAACGUUAUUUCAAACCGACUUGGUCGGCACCUUAUGAGAAAUCAAAGCAUCUGGGUUCCGGGGGGAGUAUGGUCGCAAGGCUGAAACUUAAAGGAAUUGACGGAAGGGCACCACCAGCCGUGGAGCCUGUGGCUUAAUUUGACUCAACACGGGAAAACUUACCAGGUCCAGACAUAGUAAGGAUUGGCAGAUUGAUAGCUCUUUCUUGAUUCUGUGGGUGGUGGUGCAUGGCCGUUCUUAGUUGGUGGAGUGAUUUGUCUGGUUAAUUCCGUUAACGAACGAGACCCCAGCCUGCUAAAUAGCGCGUGUGAGCUUUGCUCGCAGCGAGCUUCUUAGAGGGACUAUGAUGCGCGAUAGCACAUGGAAGUUUGGGGCAAUAACAGGUCUGUGAUGCCCUUAGAUGUUCUGGGCCGCACACGGGCUACACUGGCGCCUGCAACGAGCAUAUCAGCUGGCCCGAGAGGGUCUUGGCUAAUCUUUUGAACCGGCGCCGUGCUUGGGAUUGACCUUUGCAAUUGUUGGUCAUGCAACGAGGAAUGCCUUGUAAACGCGAGUCAUCAGCUCGCAUUGAAUACGUCCCUGCCCUUUGUACACACCGCCCGUCGCUCCUACCGAUGAAUGUUCCGAUGAAAUUUUCGGAGAGUGCCUGUGAACUUGGCUCUGCCUUGCGAACGGGAAGCUCAAAGUCACUUAAAUCUGAACAUUUCG